RNAcentral lists this ribosomal RNA (440 nucleotides) under uncultured bacterium. RNAcentral's name for it is "partial 16S ribosomal RNA". It matches the Rfam family "Bacterial small subunit ribosomal RNA", at positions 338 to 795 of the family's 1533-position model. The record is from RNAcentral.
CCUACGGGUGGCAGCAGUGGGGAAUAUUGCACAAUGGGGGAAACCCUGAUGCAGCGACGCCGCGUGAGUGAAGAAGUAAUUCGUUAUGUAAAGCUCUAUCAGCAGGGAAGAAAAUGACGGUACCUGAGUAAGAAGCCCCGGCUAACUACGUGCCAGCAGCCGCGGUAAUACGUAGGGGGCAAGCGUUAUCCGGAUUUACUGGGUGUAAGGGGAGCGUAGACGGCAGUGCAAGGCUGGAGUGAAAGGCGGGGGCUCAACCCCCGGACUGCUCUGGAAACUGUACGGCUGGAGGGCAGGAGCGGUAAGUGGAAUUCCUAGUGUAGCGGUGAAAUGCGUAGAUAUUAGGAGGAACACCAGUUGCGAAGGCGGCUCUCUGGACUGUAACUGACACUGAGGCACGAAAGCGUGGGUAUCAAACAGGAUUAGAUACCCGAGUAGUC